ACAAAUGUUUCCCCAACCUCCACGUUUUGUGCACCGUUAUACUUGCCAUGGUGAGCACCUGGGGCGCUGUUGGUUCCAAUCAGCAGCAUUCCCCCAGGGACUUGCCAUGUUUGUCCACGUUGAUCUGCUCUUUAAAGACUGAGACUUUAUUGAAAAAUAAAGA
This 163-nucleotide unclassified non-coding RNA is filed under the name uncultured fungus. Its description in RNAcentral is "sequence contains ITS1, 5.8S rRNA gene". Lineage: Eukaryota; Fungi. The record is from RNAcentral.